UAGAAGAGUAAAUUCAAUCCUUCUAUUCAGAUAGAUGGCAGUGGAUAUAGGGCUAAAGUUGGCUUCACAAAGACUUGAGUUCAAAUCUAACUUCAAAUACUUACUAGUUGUAUUACCCUGAGUAAAUCACAACUUCUAUUUGCCUUAAUUUCCUCAUCUAUAAAACAAAGAUAAUAAUAGCACACUCCCAGAGUUGUUAUGAGGAUAAAAUGAAGUAAUAUUUGUAAAGUGCUGUGCAAAUCAUUAAGUGAUAAAUGAUAGUUGUUAUUAUUGUUGUUAUCACUAUUAUAUUACCUCCUUGCCAUUUUAUGUUUUAAUUAAAACCUAACCUGGGAAUCAAGGAAGAUAACUGAUCACAGUGGACCAAACUGGACAGGGAAAAAAUGAAAGUAUAAAACAUGUGGAACCAAGAUGGUAGAGAAGAAUCAGGUCAAAAUCCUGGGACAUGGUUGCAGGAUGAGGAAGAACACUAGAAGACUCCAGGGCUUGGAGCCACAACAGAGUAGAGGACCCUGGUCACACUUCCAAGAGGUAAAAGAGUGGGGUUACUCACAGACCAGAGCAUAGGAACGGGGAGUAUUAAACACACCUCUCCUUAUGCCAUACCACCUUGGAAGAACAAACAGCAGAUAGAUCGCCAGUGCCAGCUCUGAAGGCAGCUACACAAAGAACUUGAAGCUUGGAAUAGUUCUACCUUCAUCUCAGUUACAGAACCCAACUUAAACAGGUUUUUAAACUUUAAAAAAAAUCAGGAAAAUGAGCAAACACCAAAAAAAGAAAUGCCACAUAUAAAGUUAUUUUGGUGACAGGGAAGACUCAGGAGAAGACAACAAAGUCAAUACUACUGCAUCCAAAGCCCCAAGAAAAAUAUGAAUUGCUCUCAAGUCCAAAAAGAAUUAAUGAAGGAGUUUAAAAAAUUUUUUUAAUUAAAUAAGAGAGGUAGAAGAAAAAAUAGGGAAAGAAAUGAGAGGGAUACAGGAAAAACAUGAAAAAAUAGUCAAUAUCUUGGUAAAAGAGGCACACAAAAAAUACUGAAGAAAUUAAUAGCUUAAAAAAAGAAUAGGCCAAUUGGUAAAAAAAAGGGGGGGGGGCACAAAAAUCCAAAGAAGAGAAAACUCUUUACAAAGCAGAAUUGCCCAAAUGGAAAAGGAGGUACCAAAACUCACUCAAGAAAAUCAUGCUUAAAAAUUAAAAUUGGGUAAAUGGAAGCUAAUGACUCCAUGAGGCAUCAAGAAACAAUCAAAGUCAAAAGAAUGGAAAAAAAAUAGGACCUUGAAAAUAAGUUCAGAAGAGAUAAUCUAAGAAUUAUUGGACUACCUGAAAGCCAUAAUCAAAAAAGAACUUAGACAUCAUCUUUCAAGAAAUUAUCAAGGGGGACUUCACAUGAGUCGAUGGGAAUAUGAUUGAGGACAUAGACUCUAAGUGAUCAUCCUAUUACAAAUAUUAAUAAUAUGAGAAUAGGUCUUGAUCAAUGACACAUGUAAAACCCAGUGGAAUUGUGUGUCAGCUAUGGGAGGGGGUUGGGAGUAGGGGAGGGAAAGAACAUGAAUCUUAUAACCAUGGAAAAAUAUUCUAAAUUAACUAAUUAAAUAAUUUUUUUAAGAAAAGAUUAUCAAGGUGGGGCAGCUGGAUGGCUCAGUGGAUUGAGAAUCAGGCCUAGAGAUGGGAGGUCCAGGGUUCAGAUUUGACCUCGGACAUUUCCUAGCUUUGUGACCCGGGGCAAGUCACUUAACCCCCAUUGCCUAGCUCUUACCACUCUUCUGCCAUGGUUUUGAUUCUAAGAUGAAAGGUAAGGGUUUAAAUAAAUAAAAAAAAAGAAAUUAUCA
This 1826-nucleotide long non-coding RNA is filed under the name Monodelphis domestica (gray short-tailed opossum). RNAcentral describes it as "lncRNA (ENSMODG00000034308.2)". The record is from RNAcentral. Lineage: Eukaryota; Metazoa; Chordata; Mammalia; Didelphimorphia; Didelphidae.